This 478-nucleotide ribosomal RNA is filed under the name uncultured bacterium. RNAcentral's name for it is "partial 16S ribosomal RNA". It matches the Rfam family "Bacterial small subunit ribosomal RNA", at positions 28 to 523 of the family's 1533-position model. The record is from RNAcentral.
GACGAACGCUGGCGGCGUGCUUAACACAUGCAAGUCGAACGGUAAGGCCCUUCGGGGUACACGAGUGGCGAACGGGUGAGUAACACGUGGGUGAUCUGCCCCGCACUUCGGGAUAAGCCUGGGAAACUGGGUCUAAUACCGGAUAGGACCACUGCCUGCAUGGGUGGUGGUGGAAAGCUUUUGCGGUGUGGGAUGGGCCCGCGGCCUAUCAGCUUGUUGGUGGGGUGAUGGCCUACCAAGGCGACGACGGGUAGCCGGCCUGAGAGGGUGACCCGCCACACUGGGACUGAGAUACGGCCCAGACUCCGACGGGAGGCAGCAGUGGGGAAUAUUGCACAAUGGGCGCAAGCCUGAUGCAGCGACGCCGCGUGAGGGAUGACGGCCUUCGGGUUGUAAACCUCUUUCAGCACCGACGAAGCGCAAGUGACGGUAGGUGCAGAAGAAGGACCGGCCAACUACGUGCCAGCCGCCGCCGUAA